GUAAAGGUGUCCUUAGACACCAUCGAUCUUUUCUAAAGUUAUUUCU
Molecule: non-coding RNA, 46 nt
Organism: Picea glauca (white spruce)
Lineage: Eukaryota; Viridiplantae; Streptophyta; Pinopsida; Pinales; Pinaceae
Source: Rfam